RNAcentral lists this long non-coding RNA (669 nucleotides) under Ananas comosus (pineapple). RNAcentral describes it as "long non-coding RNA (ACOM_LNC039412)". Lineage: Eukaryota; Viridiplantae; Streptophyta; Magnoliopsida; Poales; Bromeliaceae. The record is from RNAcentral.
GAAUAAUAUAAUUAGGUUUUACUCUUUGUUCGAUAGAAUGCAAAAAAGUACAAAUUGCAAAGUUAUACUGUUAGGGCGCAACUUAGUAGCCUAAUAUUGUUCCGAUUUUGGUCAUUGUGAACGUUGACAUCGAUUCGUUCGAAAUUACAACUCUCAGGGCAUAAUAGAACAAUAUAAUUAGCUUUUAACUAUUUGUUCGGUAGAAUGAGAAAAAGUACUCGUUACAAAGUUAUACUGUUAGGGCGCAACUGAGUAGUCUAAUAUUUUUCCGGUUUUGGUUCUUGUGAACGUUGACAUCGAUUCGUUCCAAAUUUACUCUCUAGGAGCAUAAUAGAACAAUAUAAUUAGGUUUUACUCUUUGUUCGAUAGAAUGAGAAAAAGUACACAUUGCAAAGUUAUACUGUUAGGGCACAAUUGAGUAGCCUAAUAUUGUUCAGGUUUUGGUUAUUGUGAACGUUGACAUCGAUUCGUUCGAAAUUACAACUCUCGGAGGGUAAUAGAACAAUAUAAUUAGCUUUAAACUCUUUGUUCGAUAGAAGAAGAAAAAGUACUUGUUGCAAAGUUAUACUGUAGGGCGCAACUGAGUAGUCUAAUGUUGUUCCGGUUUUGGUUCUUGUGAGCGUUUACAUCGAUUCGUUUCAAAUUUAAUCUCUCGCGGCUUAAUAGAAC